Molecule: non-coding RNA, 47 nt
Organism: Auxenochlorella protothecoides
Lineage: Eukaryota; Viridiplantae; Chlorophyta; Trebouxiophyceae; Chlorellales; Chlorellaceae
Source: Rfam
UUACUGGUGUUACUCAACACCACCACAUAUGAUCCGGAAAAUGGAAG